This 245-nucleotide ribosomal RNA is filed under the name uncultured Victivallis sp. Its description in RNAcentral is "partial 16S ribosomal RNA". It matches the Rfam family "Bacterial small subunit ribosomal RNA", at positions 524 to 768 of the family's 1533-position model. The record is from RNAcentral. Lineage: Bacteria; Pseudomonadati; Lentisphaerota; Lentisphaeria; Victivallales; Victivallaceae.
UACGUAGGUGGCGAGCGUUGUUCGGAUUUAUUGGGCGUAAAGGGUCCGUAGGAGGUUUGUCAAGAGUGGGGUGAAAUCCCGGAGCUCAACUCCGGAACUGCCUUGCUGACUGAUGGACUAGAGUACUGGAGAGGUAAGCGGAAUACCAGGUGUAGCGGUGGAAUGCGUAGAUAUCUGGUAGAACACCGAGAGCGAAGGCAGCUUACUGGACAGCCACUGACUCUCAUGGACGAAAGCGUGGGGAG